Molecule: ribosomal RNA, 507 nt
Filed under: uncultured bacterium
Lineage: Bacteria
Description: bacterial SSU rRNA
Rfam family: Bacterial small subunit ribosomal RNA
Source: RNAcentral
GAGUUUGAUCUUGGCUCAGAUUGAACGCUGGCGGCAGGCCUAACACAUGCAAGUCGAGCGGUAGAGAGAAGCUUGCUUCUCUUGAGAGCGGCGGACGGGUGAGUAAUGCCUAGGAAUCUGCCUGGUAGUGGGGGAUAACGCUCGGAAACGGACGCUAAUACCGCAUACGUCCUACGGGAGAAAGCAGGGGACCUUCGGGCCUUGCGCUAUCAGAUGAGCCUAGGUCGGAUUAGCUAGUUGGUGAGGUAAUGGCUCACCAAGGCGACGAUCCGUAACUGGUCUGAGAGGAUGAUCAGUCACACUGGAACUGAGACACGGUCCAGACUCCUACGGGAGGCAGCAGUGGGGAAUAUUGGACAAUGGGCGAAAGCCUGAUCCAGCCAUGCCGCGUGUGUGAAGAAGGUCUUCGGAUUGUAAAGCACUUUAAGUUGGGAGGAAGGGCAGUAAAUUAAUACUUUGCUGUUUUGACGUUACCGACAGAAUAAGCACCAGCUAACUCUGUGCCAG